This 293-nucleotide ribosomal RNA is filed under the name uncultured bacterium. Its description in RNAcentral is "partial 16S ribosomal RNA". The record is from RNAcentral.
GGACUACUAGGGUAUCUAAUCCUGUUUGCUCCCCACGCUUUCGCACCCCAGCGUCAGUAUCGGGCCAGUGAGCCGCCUUCGCCACUGGUGUUCUUGCGAAUAUCUACGAAUUUCACCUCUACACUCGCAGUUCCACUCACCUCUCCCGAACUCGAGAUCCUCAGUGUCAAAGGCAGUUCUGGAGUUGAGCUCCAGGAUUUCACCCCUGACUUAAAGACCCGCCUACGUGCGCUUUACGCCCAGUGAUUCCGAGCAACGCUAGCCCCCCUCGUAUUACCGCGGCUGCUGGCCAC